This 2508-nucleotide long non-coding RNA is filed under the name Canis lupus familiaris (dog). Its description in RNAcentral is "lncRNA (ENSCAFG00845001460.1)". The record is from RNAcentral. Lineage: Eukaryota; Metazoa; Chordata; Mammalia; Carnivora; Canidae.
AUGUUUGUCACUGUUUUCUAUUUGUUGUCCUUAUUCCUUUUUUUGUCUUCCAGCCUUUCUGCCUGGAAUAAACCCUUCUCUUUACUCAGAGUACCCAGCCACUCUGCCUACCUCAGACUAUCAAUGAUCAGGGAUUCCAUUUGUGAAAUGAUGAAAACCAGGCUGUCCUUUGCCCAAACCAAAGCUGAUCUACCCAUUGGAGCACAGCCCAGAUUUAUGGACAUUAAAGUGAGGCCUCUCCCUAACUCCUGCCCAGGUAGGUGCCAACAGUUGGCCAGAUCGGGGUUGUGGCAGCUUGCAGAUAGCACAGUGAUUACUGCCUCUGGAAUUUGUGGAAGUUGUAUUAUUGUGGCCUCUCUAGAGGCUUAGGAUCCAUUGAGCCUUUUAACCACCAGUCUUUUUUGUGCUCCCCAGUCUCCAGUGCUCCUGUGGGCAUGUAGGACCUAUUAGAUAAUGAGUUCAGGUUCUCAGCUCCAGCUGGUUGGGCUUAAAAACUAGCUGUGACACACAGCAGCCUUGUGGCCUGUAGAAGGUGCAUGAUCUCACUGUGCCUUUAUAUAUAAAUUCAGACAAUGUAAAUCUAGCUGCUCUAACAGGCAUAUUCCAGAAUCUUGGUGGCUCAGCAUAUGAAAAGUACUUUUCUUACCCAGGGACCAUGUAGGUCAGUUUGGAGCUGUGUACUACAUAGUUAUUGGGGAACCAGGUACCUCCCAUCAUCAGCGUAAGACUUGCACAUUGUCCUGGCAUCUUCUAGCUAGCACAGGGGAAAUGAGAGAAGAAAGGAGAAUGUCAUACCCACUUCUAUAUACACUAUUUCUCCUCACAUUCCACUAACAAGACAUCUGGGGCUGGGAAAUGAGGCUGAGCUAUGUGUCCAAGGAAAGGAACAAAUGGUUCUGUGAGUGUAGUCUGCUAUACUCUGUCUCUAAAUGAGUCAUUGAGUUUUUUGAGGAUGUACCAGAUUGUUCAUGAAACUGGUUCACACUGGCCCUGGCCCAUAGUGAGUAAAUGGCUCAGCAAAAGUAAGCUGCUAGCGUUAUUCACAUAAUACUAUUAGUCCUAAUGAAUAAUGACAGUAUCUCACAUUUCCUUCUGAACUACAAGGAAACAAACUAUAUUCUGCAUCCCACCCUUUCUCACCUUCUCCAUACACCCAUUCUCCAGAUGUCAGGCCCUCAGAAGCACUCCCUUGCUCCAUGUCUUCGUGCCCCCCUUGUUUGCUUAAACUUCAAGGUAACAUUUUGCCUUCUAUUCCCCUAAUCUGGGCUGCUGAGGCACUGGGGAUGUCAGGCAUGGUAACUGGUGCCACUGCAGAUCACACCUUUUCAGGGCAAACUGGCUUCUUCUUUUCUGCCUCUUCUGUUACUUUAUCCAUUCUCUGCUCAACAUAAAAAUAUGCCUGGUUACAUCACAUUAGGGGGAAGUAAAUUAAAAAGGCUUAUGGCAAAAAAAAAAAAAAAAAGGCUUAUGGCUCUCCAGUGUCUUCACACUGGUAUCAACACUGCUUUCCCUGUAUAACCAAUCUUGGAAAAGUUGUCUCAUUCUUGCAAGAGAUUUCUACACUCGUGUUCCAUUCUCCCAUUUACUAUUAUUUUCUUGCACUUUUUUAAAAAAGAUUUAUUUUUAUUUAUUUAUGAUAGACCUAGAGAGAGAGAGAGACAGAGGUAAAGACACAGGCAGAGAGAGAAGCAGGCUCCAUGCCAGGAGCCCGACGCAGGACCCGAUCCUAGGACUCCAGGAUCGCGCCCUGGGCCAAAGGCAGGCACGAAACCGCUGAACUACCCAGGGAUCCCCAUUUUCUUGCACUUUUUGAAUGAGCUGUAACUCAUAUUCUCUAUUGUGCAAAAAUCUUAAGAGGUCAGCUUUAUGAAUCUUUGUAUAUGUGUAAACCAAUAUAACCACCACCUAUGUUAAUAUUUAAUAUAUGCCAUAGUGCCCCCUUAUUUGUGGUUUUGCUUUCUGUGAUUUCAGUUACCCAACGUCAACUACAGUCCAGAAGCAGAUGAUCGUCCUUCUGAUGUAUCAUUAGAAGGUCACCAGUAGCCUCAUGCUAUGUCACAGGCCUGUGUCAUUCACUUCACUUCAUUUCAUCAUGUAGGCAUUUUAUCAUCUCACAGCAUCACAAGAAGGAUGAGUGCCAUAUAAUAAAAUAUUUUGAGAGACCACAUUUGCGUAACUUUUAUUACAGUAUUUGUUAUAAUUAUUUUAUUAUUAGUUACUUUUGUUAAUCUUUUAUGUGCCACAUAUAUAAAUUAAACUUUACUAUAGGAGUGUAUAUAUAGGAAAAAAACAUUUUAUAUAUAGGGUUGGUACUACUUGCACUUUCAGGGAUCCACUGGGGGUCUUGGAACAUAUCCCCCACAGAUAAAGGGGACCGCUGUACAAUAUUUCCAGCACCUCGUCAAGGUCUUGUGCCUUCAGUAGCCCCUUCUGCUAGGUAAUCCCUAUUGAGACCAUCAGCAUGAAUUUGCUUUGACUAUCGAUUGUUUCAUCUGUAUUUCUGUCUCC